CCUACGGGUGGCAGCAGUGGGGAAUAUUGCACAAUGGGGGAAACCCUGAUGCAGCAACGCCGCGUGAAGGAAGACGGUUUUCGGAUUGUAAACUUGUGUUCUUAGUGAAGUAUCAUGACGUUCGCUAAGGAGCAAGCCACAGCUAACUACGUGCCAGCAGCCGCGUUAAUACGUAGGAGGCACGCGUUGUCCGGAAUUACGGGGUGUAACGGGAGCGCAGGCGGCGAUGCAAGCCAGAGGUGAAAGGCCGGGGCUCAACCCCGGGAUUGCUGUUGGACCUGGGGGGCUGGAGUGCAGGUGGGGCAGGCGGAAUUCGUGGUGUAGCGGUGAAAUGCUUAGAUAUGAGGAGGAACACCGGUUGCGAAGGCGGCCUGCUGGAGUGGAACUGACGUUGAGGCCCGAAAGCGCGGGGAGCAAACAGGAUUAGAUACCCGGGUAGUC
Molecule: ribosomal RNA, 441 nt
Filed under: uncultured bacterium
Lineage: Bacteria
Description: partial 16S ribosomal RNA
Rfam family: Bacterial small subunit ribosomal RNA
Source: RNAcentral